This 253-nucleotide ribosomal RNA is filed under the name uncultured bacterium. RNAcentral's name for it is "partial 16S ribosomal RNA". It matches the Rfam family "Bacterial small subunit ribosomal RNA", at positions 524 to 776 of the family's 1533-position model. The record is from RNAcentral.
UACGAAGGGGGCUAGCGUUGCUCGGAAUCACUGGGCGUAAAGGGUGCGUAGGCGGGUUUUUAAGUCAGGGGUGAAAUCCUGGAGCUCAACUCCAGAACUGCCUUUGAUACUGAAGAUCUUGAGUCCGGGAGAGGUGAGUGGAACUGCGAGUGUAGAGGUGAAAUUCGUAGAUAUUCGCAAGAACGCCAGUGGCGAAGGCGGCUCACUGGCCCGGUACUGACGCUGAGGUGCGAAAGCGUGGGGAGCAAACAGG